Mauremys reevesii (Reeves's turtle) is the source of this 372-nucleotide long non-coding RNA. RefSeq lists it as uncharacterized. The transcript is spliced from 3 exons. NCBI's taxonomy places the organism in Eukaryota, Metazoa, Chordata, Testudines, Geoemydidae. The record is from RefSeq and is a predicted model, not a curated record.
GCUGAAUUCAGAAACAAGAUUAAGAUCUUUGCUCCAUGGACCAGCCAAGACUGAAUACCUUAUGGUGUUGGAUCAGUCUCUAGAAUGUGAAAAACCUUCAUUCAGUCUAAAUACAACAGCUAAAUGCUAAAUCUGAGCAGUACUUUACUAUACCAACAACAGCAAAAUAACGGGUCAAGCAAACUGCAUAUAGCAAAGUUCUUUCAUACAUAGGGGGCCACAGCCUGAGCGUCUCCAGCAGUCUUUGAAAUCUGCCUGACUCUUUUCUGGACUUGACUGACCACCUUUGCCACCUCGCCAGGCCUUUGGUAAUGCUGCCAUUCAUAGGAUACAGUCUCCUCCUGAUGAAUUUAAGUUGAAUGGGAGCUAGGG